Molecule: ribosomal RNA, 740 nt
Filed under: uncultured archaeon
Lineage: Archaea
Description: bacterial SSU rRNA
Rfam family: Archaeal small subunit ribosomal RNA
Source: RNAcentral
UUCCGGUUGAUCCUGCCGGACCCGACUGCUAUCAGAGUAGGACUAAGCCAUGCGAGUCGGCGUAGCAAUGCGUGGCGAACGGCUCAGUAACACGUAGUCAACAUGCCCAAGGGACGUGGAUAACCUCGGGAAACUGAGAAUAAACCACGAUAGGUCAUGAUUUCUGGAAUGGAUCAUGGCUCAAAUCUACAUGGCCCCUGGAUUGGACUGCGGCCGAUCAGGCAGUUGGUGAGGUAAAGGCCCACCAAACCUAUAACCGGUACGGGCUCUGAGAGGAGAAGCCCGGAGAUGGGCACUGAGACAAGGGCCCAGGCCCUAUGGGGCGCAGCAGGCGCGAAACCUCUGCAAUAGGCGAAAGCCUGACAGGGUUACUCUGAGUGAUUUCCGCUAAGGGGAUCUUUUGGCACCUCUAAAAACGGUGCAGAAUAAGGGGUGGGCAAGUCUGGUGUCAGCCGCCGCGGUAAUACCAGCACCCCGAGUGGUCGGGACGAUUAUUGGGCCUAAAGCAUCCGUAGCCGGUUCUGCAAGUCUUCCGUUAAAUCCAGCCGCUCAACGGAUGGGCCGCGGAGGAUACUACAGGACUAGGAGGCGGGAGAGGCAAGCGGUACUCAGUGGGUAGGGGUAAAAUCCUUUGAUCCAUUGAAGACCACCAGUGGCGAAGGCGGCUUGCCAGAACGCGCUCGACGGUGAGGGAUGAAAGCUGGGGGAGCAAACCGGAUUAGAUACCCGGGUAGUCCCAG